CCAUUCAACAGAAUUACCGAACAUCGACAACCAAUUUCCAAAGGCACAUAGAUUGCCGCAAUCCACCAAAAUCAAAUUUACAAUUCACAAAUAAAAUUGAAAAGUCUCGAAACCCACACCUGAUUUGCGACCAAAGACGCCUGUAAUAUCCAAUUUUUGCCUGGGCCCAACUAAACCUAAAGCCUAGGUUACAUCAAACCCAAACCCAUUAGCCUAAAACUAGACCUAACCCUAAUGGCCCAAACCCAUAAUAGUCAAAGAAAUCUUAAGCAGAUUGAAGCAAAUCGGCGCCGCAGCAACUGCCUACGUCGCAGCAACCGUCACCACCCAUGUUCAUCAUGUUCGCACGUUCAGCAGCCUUGCAGUGCCUGUUUCCAUGUACCUGUAACAAAUAAACCACGAGCAUCACUAAUAGGAUAGAUACAGCAAAUUGUAAAGAAGUUUUGGCUAUAAAAAGCCAAUGGAUUUCUGUAAUAGGGGUUAGCAAAAAUAUUAUAUGAAAAAACAUUAAAGAAAAUACGAAAAUAAGGAAUCAAAAAGGUAAAUUUUUGAAGGUAUUUGUUCUCUUCCUUUUCUUUCUUUUAUUUUUUUCCUUUUUCAUUUUCUAUCUUGUUUCUUAAAACAAAAGCGGAAAAGGGAAGUAGAGGAGGACUUACCGUCGCAUGCGGCGUUGAGGGAUCUUCAUUCCGUCGUUGGAGUGAGAGGAAUACAGAGCGGCAAUGGGAAAGGGAGGCUGCGGCAAACACAAAAAUUACAGAGAAAGGGAGU
RNAcentral lists this long non-coding RNA (768 nucleotides) under Gossypium raimondii (Peruvian cotton). Its description in RNAcentral is "long non-coding RNA (GRAI_LNC006169)". The record is from RNAcentral. Lineage: Eukaryota; Viridiplantae; Streptophyta; Magnoliopsida; Malvales; Malvaceae.